ACCGUCCCAUUGUAGCACGUGUGUAGCCCAGGGUCAUAAAGGGGCAUGAAUGAUUUGACGUCAUCCCCACCUUCCUCCGGUUUGUCACCGGCAGUCACCUUAGAGUGCCCAACUUAAUGAUGGCAAUAAGAUCAAGGGUUGCGCUCGUUGCGGGACUUAACCCAACAUCUCACGACACGAGCUGACGACAACCAUGCACCACCUGUCACUAUGCUCCCGAAGGAGAAGCCCUAUCUCUAGGGUUGUCAGAGGAUGUCAAGACCUGGUAAGGUUCUUCGCGUUGCUUCGAAUUAAACACAUGCUCCACCGCUUGUGCGGGCCCCCGUCAAUUCCUUUGAGUUUCAGCCUUGCGGCCGUACUCCCCAGGCGGAGUGCUUAAUGCGUUAACUUCAGCAUAAAGGGCGGAAACCCUCCAACACAGAGCACUCAUCGUUUACGGCGUGGACUACCAGG
This 453-nucleotide ribosomal RNA is filed under the name Bacillus cereus. Its description in RNAcentral is "partial 16S ribosomal RNA". Lineage: Bacteria; Bacillati; Bacillota; Bacilli; Caryophanales; Bacillaceae. The record is from RNAcentral.